Long non-coding RNA from Trifolium pratense (red clover), 397 nucleotides. RefSeq lists it as uncharacterized. Lineage: Eukaryota; Viridiplantae; Streptophyta; Magnoliopsida; Fabales; Fabaceae. The record is from RefSeq and is a predicted model, not a curated record. The transcript is spliced from 3 exons.
UGUUCUGCCUGAUGUUUUUUGCAGUGUUCGGUUAGACUAGACCUCAAAUCUGUUGUGUUUCUAUUCGUUGUAGCUUUGCCAAAUUGGGUCUGGACAGAGGUACUCCAAAAGAUUGAAUGAAGAGCAAGUAACCAAUCUUCUAAGGGCUACCUGCCAGCGUCCUCAUCAGAGAGAACAAGAUAUUAAAAAUAUCGUAAAGCAGCACCGCUUCAACUCAUACAAGGCUGUGAAGGAGUUUGGAAUCAAUGUAAGAGAGGAUCCUGCUCUGGUUGAUGCCCGUGUUUUGACACCCCCAACGCUCAAAUAUCAUGGAACUGGUGGAGAAUCAAAACUUGACCUUCGGAUGGGUCAGUGGAAUAUGAUUUCUAAGGAAAAAUGAUGAAUCUAUUUUUUUCUG